Molecule: non-coding RNA, 24 nt
Filed under: Arabidopsis thaliana (thale cress)
Lineage: Eukaryota; Viridiplantae; Streptophyta; Magnoliopsida; Brassicales; Brassicaceae
Source: RNAcentral
GCAUCACAGAUCUGUCUAUCCAGG